GAUGAACGCUGGCGGCGUGCCUAAUACAUGCAAGUCGAGCGAACGGACGAGAAGCUUGCUUCUCUGAUGUUAGCGGCGGACGGGUGAGUAACACGUGGAUAACCUACCUAUAAGACUGGGAUAACUUCGGGAAACCGGAGCUAAUACCGGAUAAUAUUUUGAACCGCAUGGUUCAAAAGUGAAAGACGGUCGUGCUGUCACUUAUAGAUGGAUCCGCGCUGCAUUAGCUAGUUGGUAAGGUAACGGCUUAACAAGGCAACGAUGCAUAGCCGACCUGAGAGAGUGAUCGGCCGCACUGGAACUGAGACAAGGUCCAGACUCCUACGGGAGGCACCAGUAGGGAAUCUUCCGCAAUGGGCGAAAGUCUGCCGGAGCAACGCCGCGUGAGUGAUGAAGGUCUUCGGAUCGUAAAACUCUGUUAUUAGGGAAGAACAUAUGUGUAAGUAACUGUGCACAUCUUGACGGUACCUAAUCAGAAAGCCACGGCUAACUACGUG
This 497-nucleotide ribosomal RNA is filed under the name uncultured bacterium. RNAcentral describes it as "partial 16S ribosomal RNA". It matches the Rfam family "Bacterial small subunit ribosomal RNA", at positions 28 to 507 of the family's 1533-position model. The record is from RNAcentral.